UGGGGAAUAUUGGACAAUGGGGGGAACCCUGAUCCAGCCAUGCCGCGUGUGUGAAGAAGGCCUUAUGGUUGUAAAGCACUUUAAGCGAGGAGGAGGGUACUGGCAUUAAUACUACCAGGUACUGGACGUUACUCGCAGAAUAAGCACUGGCUAACUCUGUGCCAGCAGCCGCGGUAAUACAGCGGGUGCGAGCGUUAAUCGGAUUUACUGGGCGUAAAGCGUGCGUAUGCGGCUAAUUGAGUCGGAUGUGAAAUCCCCGAGCUUAACUUGGGAAUUGCAUUCGAUACUGGUUAGCUAGAGUGUGGGAGAGGAUGGUAGAAUUCCAGGUGUAGCGGUGAAAUGCGUAGAGAUCUGGAGGAAUACCGAUGGCGAAGGCAGCCAUCUGGCCUAACACUGACGCUGAGGUACGAAAGCAUGGGGAGCAAACAGG
RNAcentral lists this ribosomal RNA (430 nucleotides) under Pseudomonadota bacterium. RNAcentral describes it as "Proteobacteria bacterium partial 16S ribosomal RNA". It matches the Rfam family "Bacterial small subunit ribosomal RNA", at positions 355 to 776 of the family's 1533-position model. Lineage: Bacteria; Pseudomonadati; Pseudomonadota. The record is from RNAcentral.